AUUGAACGCUGGCGGCAGGCCUAACACAUGCAAGUCGAGCGGAUGAAGGGAGCUUGCUCCUGGAUUCAGCGGCGGACGGGUGAGUAAUGCCUAGGAAUCUGCCUGGUAGUGGGGGAUAACGUCCGGAAACGGGCGCUAAUACCGCAUACGUCCUGAGGGAGAAAGUGGGGGAUCUUCGGACCUCACGCUAUCAGAUGAGCCUAGGUCGGAUUAGCUAGUUGGUGGGGUAAAGGCCUACCAAGGCGACGAUCCGUAACUGGUCUGAGAGGAUGAUCAGUCACACUGGAACUGAGACACGGUCCAGACUCCUACGGGAGGCAGCAGUGGGGAAUAUUGGACAAUGGGCGAAAGCCUGAUCCAGCCAUGCCGCGUGUGUGAAGAAGGUCUUCGGAUUGUAAAGCACUUUAAGUUGGGAGGAAGGGCAGUAAGUUAAUACCUUGCUGUUUUGACGUUACCAACAGAGUAAGCUCCGGCUAACUUCGUG
RNAcentral lists this ribosomal RNA (484 nucleotides) under uncultured bacterium. Its description in RNAcentral is "partial 16S ribosomal RNA". It matches the Rfam family "Bacterial small subunit ribosomal RNA", at positions 30 to 507 of the family's 1533-position model. The record is from RNAcentral.